GAUGAACGCUGGCGGCGUGCCUAAUACACGCAAGUCGAGCGAACAGACGAGGAGCUUGCUCCUUUGACGUUAGCGGCGGACGGGUGAGUAACACGUAGGUAACCUACCUAUAAGACUGGGAUAACUUCGGGAAACCGGAGCUAAUACCGGAUAAUAUUUCGAACCGCAUGGUUCGAUAGUGAAAGAUGGCUUUGCUAUCACUUAUAGAUGGACCUGCGCCGUAUUAGCUAGUUGGUAAGGUAACGGCUUACCAAGGCAACGAUACGUAGCCGACCUGAGAGGGUGAUCGGCCACACUGGAACUGAGACACGGUCCAGACUCCUACGGGAGGCAGCAGUAGGGAAUCUUCCGCAAUGGGCGAAAGCCUGACGGAGCAACGCCGCGUGAGUGAUGAAGGUCUUCGGAUCGUAAAACUCUGUUAUUAGGGAAGAACAAAAGUGUAAGUAACUGUGCACGUCUUGACGGUACCUAAUCAGAAAGCCACGGCUAACUACGUG
This 497-nucleotide ribosomal RNA is filed under the name uncultured bacterium. Its description in RNAcentral is "partial 16S ribosomal RNA". It matches the Rfam family "Bacterial small subunit ribosomal RNA", at positions 28 to 507 of the family's 1533-position model. The record is from RNAcentral.